UAUUAAUGGAGAGAGGGCUCUGGGUAGGUGGCCAGGGGCCUUCUCUUCUCGGGACAUCCCCUUAGCUAAGAAUGCAGAUGAGAAGCCCAAGUUCCAGCCAGACCUACCAGAUGAGUGACUUAGUGGGAAAUCUAGACUCUUCCACCAGCUUUCGGGGAGGGCUCUGAGCUGAGGGUGUUUUCCUUUAACGAAAUGAACUGACUCAGCGGGCCCCUAUCCAGCCCCAAGGAAUCUACUUGAUGGUUUAAAACAGUGUUAAAGAGGCUGGAAGGUUAUCUUGGGAUCGCCAAUCCCUGGUCCUUGGCAGUUGCUCACAGACAGGCCUCACGCUGCAGCACAAACUAGCCAUCCGAGGUAGAGGGUUGCGUCGCUUUAGCACCGUCACGGGGUACGUCCACCCUCCCACCCGUUUAUCUGGCAGUCUCCACAUGGUCUCUGUUCUCACCGCCUCAGAGCUGCAGGGAAGACAUGAGGGAGUGGGCAGCGGUGUACAGUAUGGUCUAGGCUGUGAUCAGACACAAGGCGGCAGAGGAGGUGCCUGACUCAGCUAUGACGAGGCAGAGCAGGCUUCUGGCAGGAAGUGAUGGGGGAGGAGAAGAGGGAGUCCUAGGCCGAGAGAAGCCAACACGCAAAAGCUGGAGAGUGGCUGCAACGCACGGGAACAGUGUUCUAUUCAGGGGGGAUACCUGCUCAGAAAGAAAUGGUGGAAGAGCAAAGGUGGGGCUGCCAGAUGGGGACCUGAAGGGCAGCUAAGCUGGGGCACCGAGGCACAAUGGGUCGUCGACCAAGGCGAAGUGAAGGCCCCAGCCGGUCCAGGGAAUGCUAUUGGAGGCUGUUGACGAUGACCUACUGAGGGUACACAUCCCUGAAUUCUGACUUCCCAUCUAAAGAAAAGAGCCCAGCCUCUUUGGAGAGGGCCCUAGAAGCCUCUGUAGCCUCUGAGGAAAGCACAGGGUGGGGUGGGGGUGGGGUGUCAGGGUUAGGGCAGUCUUGUUGAUCUUGUCCUUUUCAAAAGCAGCAACAUCGAUGGCUGAGAUGGAGAAGACACGUUUGUUUGUUUUGUUUUUGUUUAAGGAGACCCUGACAUAACUCUUGUGGUGUUCGUGGUGAAUGCCAAAGGAGAGACAGAGGGAAGGAAGCAGGGCUGGAAACAAGAAGAACUUGCAGUGUUGCCACAGAGAGGACCUUAAGGACAGAGGCCGAUGGUCUUCUCCACCAUGUGCUUUUGUGGCUUCUCCAGAAGCAAGGUAGAUGGGCAGGGAAAUGGGAGGAGACAUGAGGACAGGUCUGGACCCCCUGACUCUGAAUUACAGUCGGAGCUCCACACUAGCAAACAACACCACAAGCAAGAUUUCCAACACAACCGGCAAUGGCUUAAAGCCUUUUUCCCCUUUCCUAGCUGUAAAGCUCUAAAUUUUCUAGCAAUAUCACCAGAAAAACUUUCACAUGGAAAGGACACAUACCAAUGCCCUGUGUACCCCCAGGGGCCCCUGGUUUCAUCUGAUCAGUCCAACUUCAUUCAAGGCAUAUAUAGAUAACACAUAUACCAUGACUCUUCUUUGAGAAGCUCAAACCGGAGCUUCCGGGUGUGUCUCACUUUCUGAGCACACCUCUUCCUCUGAACCCUCUGGCUUUGCCUGGGUUAAGGUAUCUCUAUUAAGUCUAUUAAGUCUAUUAAGUGGCUAGUCCCGAAAUUCUUUUCCACACUGAAGUCCUGGUUUGGCCUGAGUGGAGGUCCUUAAAAGAUCCAGGGGAACUCUAAGGCUGCUGAAGGUGGUGAUAGUGGCUUGCUGUGUCUCUGUCCCCUCACCUCUGAUACCCCAGGGUCACCAAGACCUGUCCUUCAGCCACAGAGCAAUUCUUGGAUCCUACAAGCACAUAUGUGAGGGAGGCUCAGAAUUCUGCUGCUAAGUGAUGCAGCAGGCACCAUUUAGCUUGAGGGCACAGCCAAGGCGAGGCGCUAACAGCUCAUUCAGGAAGCACGUGAGGGUGAGAGGUGUUACGUGGGUCUUCUACAAUCCAAGGCAUAUGACCUUGUUGGCUUUGAAGCCCUAAGAAAAGGUCCAGCCCCGGUAGGUAAUGGGCCAUCUGCCCCCACCCACCUGCCUCAGUUGUCCUACUUUAGGGUGGGGCCACACAGGACAUAAGAUGCCAGAUGUGUCCACACCUACCCAGGGAGGAGAACCUCGAGGCAGAGGAAGAGGAGGAGAGAAGACCUGUGGGCCCAGGAAAUGGAAAUCUUACAAGUCAUACUCUGCCCUCUGCCUGACCUGCAGCAAGGACACCAGGAACACGUAUGCCCAAAUCCCCAACUAGUCUGCUGGUUAAAGGAAGGUCCUGUACCCAGACAUGGCCAGGCUUAAAAGAUGGCAGAGUAGCAGCUGAGUAGGGGUGAGGUGAAGGUUUACCCCAGAAAACCUCCUCCUAUCAGCUGAGAGGUAUGGUGACCACCACUGAAAUUCUCUGCCUGCUAAGCAGGAUGUCAGAGGUUAGAUGGCUUUGUGAGGCCUCAGCUCUGGAAACAGAACGGAGGGGCUGCUACUUCUGAAGCCAUGGUGGUCUUGCCAGCCUGGAUGGUUCCUAUCUGAUACCCCUAAUUCCCAUGUUGAUAAAGUAUGCUCGUUCCACUGACCUGAGGACAUCCUGUCUAGCCUCUAAGUACUUCCCUAUCUGAUCUCACUGGCUGGCCCACAUCCUACCUUGCUGCUCUCUCUGUCUCAUCUCUGAUUGUCCUACCGUAUAGCCUCAGACUGAGCUUUUACUGUUCAGUUUCUGGUUGACCUUAAUGUCGACUGGCCUUUCUGUCAUUCCUCAGAACCUACUGUCAGUGUUCACACUGCUCUGCAGCUAGAGCUAAGGUAGGAAUAGGUGGGCAGGUAGAUCUCUCGGGGGAGGGAGUGUCAAAGUCCCAACAGUUCAAUGGAGUGGGAGAAAUGGGGCUGAUAGUAAGCCCAGUCCUACCUACUCCUUCCAGAUCCAUAGGUGGGACAGAUAGUGCUGUGAGCCAGUUAGUAGGGUUUGCCUAUUCAACCAAAGGUUGCUUUGUCUUCCCCCUGCCUCCCCUCCCCAUGGUGGCCUCCGAUCACUGGGUUGGUUCCUGGCUCCAAAGGGUUCCGAUCUGGAUUUGCUUAUCCCAGGUUCUGAAAACUGAGAUUCUGAUUGUUGUUGGUUUGAAGCCUCAACAGUCAGCCAGCUUGGAAUGUAAGCCUGAUCGGGCAGAACAUGAGCCAGAGUCAGCCACUCCUAACCUUUCACAUAAAUCCUCUACCUGAAUGCUCAGUC
Rattus norvegicus (Norway rat) is the source of this 3282-nucleotide non-coding RNA. NCBI's taxonomy places the organism in Eukaryota, Metazoa, Chordata, Mammalia, Rodentia, Muridae. The record is from RefSeq and is a predicted model, not a curated record.